AGCGAACGCUGGCGGCAGGCCUAACACAUGCAAGUCGAACGAACUCUUCGGAGUUAGUGGCGGACGGGUGAGUAACACGUGGGAACGUGCCUUAGGUUCGGAAUAACUCAGGGAAACUUGUGCUAAUACCGAAUGUGCCCUUCGGGGGAAAGAUUUAUCGCCUUUAGAGCGGCCCGCGUCUGAUUAGCUAGUUGGUGAGGUAAAGGCUCACCAAGGCGACGAUCAGUAGCUGGUCUGAGAGGAUGAUCAGCCACAUUGGGACUGAGACACGGCCCAAACUCCUACGGGAGGCAGCAGUGGGGAAUCUUGCGCAAUGGGCGAAAGCCUGACGCAGCCAUGCCGCGUGAAUGAUGAAGGUCUUAGGAUUGUAAAAUUCUUUCACCGGGGACGAUAAUGACGGUACCCGGAGAAGAAGCCCCGGCUAACUUCGUG
This 432-nucleotide ribosomal RNA is filed under the name uncultured bacterium. RNAcentral's name for it is "partial 16S ribosomal RNA". It matches the Rfam family "Bacterial small subunit ribosomal RNA", at positions 29 to 507 of the family's 1533-position model. The record is from RNAcentral.